CCUACGGGAGGCAGCAGUGGGGAAUUUUGGACAAUGGGCGCAAGCCUGAUCCAGCAAUGCCGCGUGCAGGAUGAAGGCCUUCGGGUUGUAAACUGCUUUUGUACGGAACGAAACGGCGAGCUCUAAUAAAGUUCGCUAAUGACGGUACCGUAAGAAUAAGCACCGGCUAACUACGUGCCAGCAGCCGCGGUAAUACGUAGGGUGCAAGCGUUAAUCGGAAUUACUGGGCGUAAAGCGUGCGCAGGCGGUGAUGUAAGACAGAUGUGAAAUCCCCGGGCUCAACCUGGGACCUGCAUUUGUGACUGCAUCGCUAGAGUACGGUAGAGGGGGAUGGAAUUCCGCGUGUAGCAGUGAAAUGCGUAGAUAUGCGGAGGAACACCGAUGGCGAAGGCAAUCCCCUGGACCUGUACUGACGCUCAUGCACGAAAGCGUGGGGAGCAAACAGGAUUAGAUACCCUGGUAGUCCACGCCCUAAACGAUGUCAACUGGUUGUUGGGUCUUCACUGACUCAGUAACGAAGCUAACGCGUGAAGUUGACCGCCUGGGGAGUACGGCCGCAAGGUUGAAACUCGAAAUGAAUUGACGG
RNAcentral lists this ribosomal RNA (586 nucleotides) under uncultured bacterium. RNAcentral's name for it is "bacterial SSU rRNA". It matches the Rfam family "Bacterial small subunit ribosomal RNA", at positions 338 to 916 of the family's 1533-position model. The record is from RNAcentral.